Molecule: ribosomal RNA, 688 nt
Filed under: Cosmoderes sp. UFIFAS UFFE 13709
Lineage: Eukaryota; Metazoa; Arthropoda; Insecta; Coleoptera; Curculionidae
Description: partial large subunit ribosomal RNA
Rfam family: Eukaryotic large subunit ribosomal RNA
Source: RNAcentral
UGAAACCGUUUAGGGGUAAACCUGAGAAACCCGAAAGGUCGAAGGGAGAAAUUCAUUCGCGUCUCGCGGCCGGCUGCGUGGGGUUCGUUGACGGACGGCGUUCGCGUCGACCGCUCGUUCUCCGACGUUGACCCGGCGACGAACGCGUGCACUUUUCUCCCGGUAGGACGUCGCGAUCCGUCGGGUGUCGGUCUACGGCUUCGGGCGGAGCCCGUCGGUUAACGAUCUCGUUUACCGACGGACCCCGGACGCCCGGCCGACUCGCUCGACGGUAUAAGAAAGGUUAGAGGCCGCUCUCGGAGCGUUCGGCUCGCGGCAAGCGCGUCAGUCGCGUCGGCGAUCGGACCCGGUGCCGAUCCCGACCCCUGGCGACUGUUGGCCGCGAAGUUCUCGAACAGACCUCGCGACCGAUCGGCGACGCUAUAGCUUUGGGUACUUUCAGGACCCGUCUUGAAACACGGACCAAGGAGUCUAGCAUGUACGCGAGUCAUUGGGAUUAUCGCUAAACCUAAAGGCGCAAUGAAAGUGAAGGUCUUCCUCGCGAAGACCGAGGGAAGACGGGCGGACCGGCCUUAAAACCGGCCGUUCAGCAUUCCCGGGGCGUCUCGUUCUCAUCGCGAGAAGAGGCGCACCAUGAGCGUACACGCUGGGACCCGAAAGAUGGUGAACUAUGCCUGGUCAGGACGAA